UGGGGAAUAUUGGACAAUGGGCGCAAGCCUGAUCCAGCCAUGCCGCGUGUGUGAAGAAGGCCUUCGGGUUGUAAAGCACUUUUGUCCGGAAAGAAAUCCUUCAGGUUAAUACUCUGGAGGGAUGACGGUACCGGAAGAAUAAGCACCGGCUAACUUCGUGCCAGCAGCCGCGGUAAUACGAAGGGUGCAAGCGUUACUCGGAAUUACUGGGCGUAAAGCGUGCGUAGGCGGUUUGUUAAGUCUGACGUGAAAUCCCCGGGCUCAACCUGGGACGUGCGUUGGAAACUGGCGAUCUAGAGUACGGUAGAGGGUGGUGGAAUUCCCGGUGUAGCAGUGAAAUGCGUAGAGAUCGGGAGGAACACUCGUGGCGAAGGCGGCCACCUGGACCAGUACUGACGCUGAGGCACGAAAGCGUGGGGAGCAAACAGG
Molecule: ribosomal RNA, 429 nt
Filed under: uncultured Gammaproteobacteria bacterium
Lineage: Bacteria; Pseudomonadati; Pseudomonadota; Gammaproteobacteria
Description: bacterial SSU rRNA
Rfam family: Bacterial small subunit ribosomal RNA
Source: RNAcentral